RNAcentral lists this small nuclear RNA (106 nucleotides) under Myotis brandtii (Brandt's bat). The record is from RNAcentral. Lineage: Eukaryota; Metazoa; Chordata; Mammalia; Chiroptera; Vespertilionidae.
GCACUGGCUUUGGCAGCACAUAUACUAAAAUUGGAACAUACAGAAAAGAUUAGCAUGGCCCCUUCAUAAGGAUGGCAUGCAAAUUUGUGAAGCAUUCCAUAUUUUU